This 723-nucleotide ribosomal RNA is filed under the name Vibrio sp. 1B10. RNAcentral's name for it is "bacterial SSU rRNA". It matches the Rfam family "Bacterial small subunit ribosomal RNA", at positions 33 to 735 of the family's 1533-position model. Lineage: Bacteria; Pseudomonadati; Pseudomonadota; Gammaproteobacteria; Vibrionales; Vibrionaceae. The record is from RNAcentral.
ACGCUGGCGGCAGGCCUAACACAUGCAAGUCGAGCGGAAACGACACUAACAAUCCUUCGGGUGCGUUAAUGGGCGUCGAGCGGCGGACGGGUGAGUAAUGCCUAGGAAAUUGCCUUGAUGUGGGGGAUAACCAUUGGAAACGAUGGCUAAUACCGCAUAAUGCCUACGGGCCAAAGAGGGGGAYCUUCGGRCCUCUCGCGUCAAGAUAUGCCUAGGUGGGAUUAGCUAGUUGGUGAGGUAAUGGCUCACCAAGGCGACGAUCCCUAGCUGGUCUGAGAGGAUGAUCAGCCACACUGGAACUGAGACACGGUCCAGACUCCUACGGGAGGCAGCAGUGGGGAAUAUUGCACAAUGGGCGAAAGCCUGAUGCAGCCAUGCCGCGUGUAUGAAGAAGGCCUUCGGGUUGUAAAGUACUUUCAGUUGUGAGGAAGGGGGURKYGUUAAUAGCGCYAUCUCUUGACGUUAGCAACAGAAGAAGCACCGGCUAACUCCGUGCCAGCAGCCGCGGUAAUACGGAGGGUGCGAGCGUUAAUCGGAAUUACUGGGCGUAAAGCGCAUGCAGGUGGUUCAUUAAGUCAGAUGUGAAAGCCCGGGGCUCAACCUCGGAACUGCAUUUGAAACUGGUGAACUAGAGUACUGUAGAGGGGGGUAGAAUUUCAGGUGUAGCGGUGAAAUGCGUAGAGAUCUGAAGGAAUACCAGUGGCGAAGGCGGCCCCCUGGACA